GUAAAGUACUUUCAGCAGUGAGGAAGGUGGAGUCGUUAAUAGCGGCCUCAUUUGACGUUAGCUGCAGAAGAAGCACCGGCUAACUCCGUGCCAGCAGCCGCGGUAAUACGGAGGGUGCGAGCGUUAAUCGGAAUUACUGGGCGUAAAGCGCAUGCAGGUGGUUUGUUAAGUCAGAUGUGAAAGACCCGGGGCGUCAACCUCGGAAUUGCAUUUGAAACUAGGCAGACUAGAGUACUGUAGAGGGGGGUAGGAAUUUCAGGUGUAGCGGUGAAAUGCGUAGAGAUCUGAAGGAAUACCGGUGGCGAAGGCGGCCCCCUGGACAGAUACUGACACUCAGAUGCGAAAGCGUGGGGAGCAAACAGGAUUAGAUACCCUGGUAG
This 380-nucleotide ribosomal RNA is filed under the name uncultured bacterium. RNAcentral's name for it is "bacterial SSU rRNA". It matches the Rfam family "Bacterial small subunit ribosomal RNA", at positions 425 to 793 of the family's 1533-position model. The record is from RNAcentral.